UACGGAGGGUGCAAGCGUUAUCCGGAUUCACUGGGUUUAAAGGGUGCGUAGGUGGGUUGAUAAGUCAGUGGUGAAAUCCCCGAGCUUAACUUGGGAACUGCCAUUGAUACUAUUGAUCUUGAAUACCGUGGAGGUCAGCGGAAUAUGUCAUGUAGCGGUGAAAUGCUUAGAUAUGACAUAGAACACCAAUUGCGAAGGCAGCUGGCUACACGAAUAUUGACACUGAUGCACGAAAGCGUGGGGAUCAAACAGG
Molecule: ribosomal RNA, 253 nt
Filed under: uncultured bacterium
Lineage: Bacteria
Description: partial 16S ribosomal RNA
Rfam family: Bacterial small subunit ribosomal RNA
Source: RNAcentral